GUUCUUCUAUAGUAGUUUGUUUUCUGUGGAGAUUCCGAGACCGAUGGCGGAUCAAACAGGCAUAUUAUGGCCUUGCGGCGGUGAUUCGGCGCAUCACGUGUAAGGACGGGUAGUGAGGCUGUACUCCGAAACAGAGACUACAUAUUGUUAAACCAAUAACUUCCUUUUAUUAUGACAUCAGAGAGAGCUCUUUACAAAUUGAUUAGAAGGUUACAAUGUAAUUCCCAACAUUUUGUUUCCAUACCUUAAAAGUGGGGAGUAUUCCAAAGGUUCAAAUUCAGGUACGUUGGCAGUCGUUGGUUUAUAAAGUUCGUAAGGGAGACAGGAUAGCCUUAACUCGUCUUUAGAUGGGAAGACGAUGACAGAGACACUUUGGGAGAAAAAUUUAGAAACAGGAAAUAACUCAUAUAGUCAGCACAGGCGGUGGAUCUGGCAGCAAGCUGUCAGUUUCCGACGAAAUGACGGAGACGUAAGUAGCGAUGGACAAAGCGUUUAUAGAGGUACUGAUGAUUUUUCUCUUUUUAACGUUUUCUCUUGUCUUAUUUCUAAUUUGUGUCCCCUGAGAUACUUCCCACGAGGGCUUUCAUAGAGUCUCCUAUAUCUCGACCUUUCACCUUAGCUGGCAAAGAGGAGAAUGAUGUUUAGGACGUUUGUCCCAACCCAACACCUGUGUUUAUCAUUUGUCAUUUGGUUUAAUUGUGGUGGAAACAACAGUCC
This 717-nucleotide long non-coding RNA is filed under the name Androctonus crassicauda. The record is from RNAcentral. Lineage: Eukaryota; Metazoa; Arthropoda; Arachnida; Scorpiones; Buthidae.